RNAcentral lists this long non-coding RNA (363 nucleotides) under Prunus persica (peach). RNAcentral describes it as "long non-coding RNA (PPER_LNC002682)". Lineage: Eukaryota; Viridiplantae; Streptophyta; Magnoliopsida; Rosales; Rosaceae. The record is from RNAcentral.
AUCAUGCCAAUAUAAAAGUAAAAAAUUCCCAUCCUCAUUUGGUGAUAAGGCAGAAUUUUAGAAGAACAGAAGGUGUUUUUUGUUUUGUAAGUGGUACUAUAUGGAACUCUGCUUCUAUAUGGAACUCUCUUCCUGAGGUUGGUUACAAUGAAUUGAAAGUUCACCAAAAAAAGAAAAAAAAAAGAAAAAAAAAAGGUAUAAAUAGGAGGCCGGUGUUCCCUAAUCUUCCACAAAUGACGUAAACCCCAUUAUUAAAAUGAGUUACUUACAUUGCCAUUGAAUGAAGAUUCUUGUGAUUCCACAAAAUUCCUUCAGAUCUCAACAAUUACAUGAACAUCCUCUUGAGGUUUUAAUUUGUUUUCG